GACGAACGCUGGCGGCGUGCUUAACACAUGCAAGUCGAACGGAAAGGCCCUGCUUUUGUGGGGUGCUCGAGUGGCGAACGGGUGAGUAACACGUGAGUAACCUGCCCUUGACUUUGGGAUAACUUCAGGAAACUGGGGCUAAUACCGGAUAGGAGCUCCUGCUGCAUGGUGGGGGUUGGAAAGUUUCGGCGGUUGGGGAUGGACUCGCGGCUUAUCAGCUUGUUGGUGGGGUAGUGGCUUACCAAGGCUUUGACGGGUAGCCGGCCUGAGAGGGUGACCGGCCACAUUGGGACUGAGAUACGGCCCAGACUCCUACGGGAGGCAGCAGUGGGGAAUAUUGCACAAUGGGCGGAAGCCUGAUGCAGCAACGCCGCGUGCGGGAUGACGGCCUUCGGGUUGUAAACCGCUUUCGCCUGUGACGAAGCGUGAGUGACAGUAAUGGGUGAAGAAGCACCGGCUAACUACGUGCCAGCAGCCGCGGUGAUACGUAGGGUGCGAGCGUUGUCCGGAUUUAUUGGGCGUAAAGGGCUCGUAGGUGGUUGAUCGCGUCGGAAGUGUAAUCUUGGGGCUUAACCCUGAGCGUGCUUUCGAUACGGGUUGACUUGAGGAAGGUAGGGGAGAAUGGAAUUCCUGGUGGAGCGGUGGAAUGCGCAGAUAUCAGGAGGAACACCAGUGGCGAAGGCGGUUCUCUGGGCCUUUCCUGACGCUGAGGAGCGAAAGCGUGGGGAGCGAACAGGCUUAGAUACCCUGGUAGUCCACGCUGUAAACGGUGGGUACUAGGUGUGGGGUCCAUUCCACGGGUUCCGUGCCGUAGCUAACGCUUUAAGUACCCCGCCUGGGGAGUACGGCCGCAAGGCUAAAACUCAAAGGAAUUGACGGGGCCCCGCACAAGCGGCGGAGCAUGCGGAUUAAUUCGAUGCAACGCGUAGAACCUUACCUGGGUUUGACAUGGAUCGGGAGUGCUCAGAGAUGGGUGUGCCUCUUUUGGGGUCGGUUCACAGGUGGUGCAUGCCUGUCGUCAGCUCGUGUCGUGAGAUGUUGGGUUAAGUCCCGCAACGAGCGCAACCCUUGUUCACUGUUGCCAGCACGUUAUGGUGGGGACUCAGUGGAGACCGCCGGGGUCAACUCGGAGGAAGGUGGGGAUGACGUCAAGUCAUCAUGCCCCUUAUGUCCAGGGCUUCACGCAUGCUACAAUGGCUGGUACAGAGAGUGGCGAGCCUGUGAGGGUGAGCGAAUCUCGGAAAGCCGGUCUCAGUUCGGAUUGGGGUCUGCAACUCGACCUCAUGAAGUCGGAGUCGCUAGUAAUCGCAGAUCAGCAACGCUGCGGUGAAUACGUUCCCGGG
This 1343-nucleotide ribosomal RNA is filed under the name uncultured bacterium. RNAcentral describes it as "16S ribosomal RNA". It matches the Rfam family "Bacterial small subunit ribosomal RNA", at positions 28 to 1378 of the family's 1533-position model. The record is from RNAcentral.